Molecule: ribosomal RNA, 492 nt
Filed under: uncultured bacterium
Lineage: Bacteria
Description: partial 16S ribosomal RNA
Rfam family: Bacterial small subunit ribosomal RNA
Source: RNAcentral
AGUGAACGCUGGCGGUAGGCCUAACACAUGCAAGUCGAACGGCAGCACAGUAAGAGCUUGCUCUUACGGGUGGCGAGUGGCGGACGGGUGAGGAAUACAUCGUAAUCUACUUUUUCGUGGGGGAUAACGUAGGGAAACUUACUCUAAUACCGCAUACGACCUACGGGUGAAAGCAGUGGAUCUUCGGACCUUGCGCGAUUGAAUGAGCCGAUGUCGGAUUAGCUAGUUGGCGGGGUAAAGGCCCACCAAGGCGACGAUCCGUAGCUGGUCUGAGAGGAUGAUCAGCCGCACUGGAACUGAGACACGGUCCAGAGUCCUACGGGAGGGAGCAGUGGGGAAUAUUGGACAAUGGGCGCAAGCCUGAUCCAGCCAUACCGCGUGGGUGAAGAAGGCCUUCGGGUUGUAAAGCCCUUUUGUUGGGAAAGAAAAGCAGCAGGUUAAUACCCCGCUGUUCUGACGGUACCCAAAGAAUAAGCACCGGCUAACCUCGUG